This 253-nucleotide ribosomal RNA is filed under the name uncultured bacterium. RNAcentral describes it as "partial 16S ribosomal RNA". It matches the Rfam family "Bacterial small subunit ribosomal RNA", at positions 524 to 776 of the family's 1533-position model. The record is from RNAcentral.
UACGGAGGGUGCGAGCGUUAAUCGGAAUUACUGGGCGUAAAGCGUGCGCAGGCGGUUCGCUAAGACAGGUGUGAAAUCCCCGGGCUUAACCUGGGAAUGGCGCUUGUGACUGGCGGGCUGGAGUACGGCAGAGGGAGGUGGAAUUCCACGUGUAGCAGUGAAAUGCGUAGAGAUGUGGAGGAACACCGAUGGCGAAGGCAGCCUCCUGGGCCAGUACUGACGCUCAUGCACGAAAGCGUGGGGAGCAAACAGG